AUACGUAGGUGGCAAGCGUUGUCCGGAAUUAUUGGGCGUAAAGCGCGCGCAGGCGGUCCUUUAAGUCUGAUGUGAAAGCCCACGGCUCAACCGUGGAGGGUCAUUGGAAACUGGGGGACUUGAGUGCAGAAGAGGAAAGUGGAAUUCCAAGUGUAGCGGUGAAAUGCGUAGAGAUUUGGAGGAACACCAGUGGCGAAGGCGACUGUCUGGUCUGUAACUGACACUGAGGCGCGAAAGCGUGGGGAGCAAACAGGAUUAGAUACCCUGGUAGUCCACGCCGUAAACGAUGAGCGCUAAGUGUUGGGGGGUUUCCGCCCCUCAGUGCUGCAGCUAACGCAUUAAGCACUCCGCCUGGGGAGUACGGUCGCAAGACUGAAACUCAAAUGAAUUGGCGGGG
Molecule: ribosomal RNA, 397 nt
Filed under: uncultured bacterium
Lineage: Bacteria
Description: partial 16S ribosomal RNA
Rfam family: Bacterial small subunit ribosomal RNA
Source: RNAcentral